This 3137-nucleotide long non-coding RNA is filed under the name Physcomitrium patens. RNAcentral's name for it is "long non-coding RNA (PPAT_LNC010995)". The record is from RNAcentral. Lineage: Eukaryota; Viridiplantae; Streptophyta; Bryopsida; Funariales; Funariaceae.
AUGAAAUUAUUUGUAGACUUAACCAAAUUUGCCUAUUUUCUUUGUCAAAUGCAUCACAAAUUAUAUGCACUUAAUAAAUAGACCAAAGUAAGUUCCACCAAACUCUAAAUCUUUCCAUGGAUUUGAAAAAGUAAAGUAAUGCCCAUUGUGGAGGCAAAGGUAAAGUAAAGUAAGGCCUCAAUCCAAGCCAAACAAUCAUGCAUUCACAAUCCUCACACUAAUCUCAACCAUGGCUAUAAAGACACAACGAGCAUGUGCAUACGGAAAACUACAAUAUUGUGCAUUUGAUUCGAAACCAAAUAAGCCUCUACAUGUACUUGUAACUUGCAAAUGGAGAUUGAAAAGCCUUUGGCAAUCUCUCUAUCUUUGUCAUUGAGCAACUUAGAUAAUGUGGUUACCAUUAGAACUAGCUCAAUAUUGAACUGAUAUGGUAACCACAUUAUUGAGCUGGACCACAAAACCCCAGCACUCAAUGGUUCGUCAAACGGAUGCUACAAAUUAUAUUCUAAUACAUUGGCACAAAAAUUUGCAUUGAACAUCAAUUGUGACUAAUAAAUUUGUGAAAUGCAGCAACAUUGAUCAAUCUUCUAAUCCACGUUUACCUACUGAACUUGAGAGUUGAAGAUAUUGUACAAAAUAAUUGAGAGCACUACUACACUUAUAAACUUGAAAGCAUAGGACUCAAUCAGAUGCACCAAGGGAUACUCUAAAAGUAAUCAAGACACAAGUUCAUCUAGUACAUGAACGACAAUAAUGGUCCAAAAUGUUGGUAAGCAAUUAUAGACUCAGGUUUACUUGGAUCAAGAAGCACUCAGAUGGACCUUGACGUUAGAGUCUGCACUCAAAGAGAUCCACCAAAAAUCUUCAGAUUUAGCCUAUUCAGAAACAGAGAUUCAAGAUCCUUAAUUAUUAAGCUCAAAUUGUUGCCAACACACAUCACAUAAAUAAUUCUAAAGAAAAUUGAAGACUCACUGAAAUCAUAGUAAGAAAUCUGCGAAAAACUGCAACAAUCCAACCUUUGUCAUAGCCCCACAAUACAUUUGAAAGCUAGUAUAACCAGAUUGGCUCCCCUCUAAUAUCCAUGUACUAGUCAAACACCAUUGAAGGCAAGUUUGUAAAUAGCAAAAGAUCUCUGACUUGCUUCAAAAUCCAAGACAUAAGCUACUGAAGCUAAUAAAACUCUAACAUGCGUUACAAUGACCUCAUCAAAAAAAAAUUUGGGCUACAAAUCCCACAACAAUGAAAAUGCAGAGACUCAUUUCAACUCUGAUUAAGCAAAUGGCCCUAAAGACUUCAGAAAGUAUUUUACUUUGGAUUUAUAAGCAGUUAGCGACUAUUUGGCAAUGGCAGACAAAGUCCCUUGUGAAAAGUUUGGCAGCUUACAAUCUAACAAGCUGACUCAAGAUUGAGAAGCCUGGUGUUGAUUCCAGCGUUCCUUUUCAUCAAUUUCAGCACACCACAUGUACGAUAUUUUUUAGUCUUGUCGACAGGAGCCCAAUUCUUUACCACUGUAACAAACGUAAUCGAAUCUAAACAGCUGCAGUUUGCACCAGUAUUACUAGAGAACCAAAUGACUUCCCAACAUGUACACAUUUACAACACAAGCAUAAUCAAGACUUCUCAAUAUGAUUGUAAAAGACCCUGCAAAGAAAAUGCACACACAAGUCAGCUUCAUCGCUACAAAUCUUAAACAUGACAUGCGUAAGAAUUUUAAAAACAACUGAGUUGGUUAACCGUGCAUUUGCCCCCUUUGUCUGCAUUAUUCCUACAGACUUUCUCAAAGUGGCUAUCACAACCUAAUUCCAUAAGCCAGAACUUCAUGCUGCAUGCAUUGGUUGCAAGACUUCAAUGUAUAUGAACACUUGCUGUCAAGCAACAUCAAUCUACAUGAUUUCAUAGAUUCCCAGAAAAAUCCCACAACAUUGAAUAAUAAAAGGAUUUCACAUUUAGCACAUCCAUAAUUUGACGACUGACUUGCAAGAGGCUUACAUCGACAGCCCACAGGCCUGUAACUCAGAGCAGUAAAAACACAACUUGCCGAUUUUCAUUAUCAGCGACAACGAUGCAGGAGUAUGCUAAUAUAGUUCUAUAUCUGAUACGAAGUGCUCAUUAGAAAUGCUCUUUUCAGAAAGAAACACAUCACUAUGUUAUAUUACUUCAAAGGGACCAGCGACCCAAGAUACACACGAAAUAAUACCCCGUCAUCCUACCAACGGAAGCUGCCAACCUUUCCAUAAGUGAAAGAGAUCGACCGCUGUAAGAUAGUCAUGGUAUUCAAAUGGACGAGCCCAGUUUCACGAAUGUGUAUGAACUGACUUGACUAGCAUAAUGAUACAAGACAGUAUCAUUAGAACCAAUAUUUAGGUUUACUCCAUUGAUGAUGCAUUCAUUGGAUAGAAGUAAAAGGAGUUGGAGAGACCAAAAUCAGCAUAGACCAUCCUACGCUCAAACAACUCAAAAACAGGCAGGUCAAAUUCCUUCUGAACAGUUUGCAGAAUAUAGUUUGUAGUCAAAACAGGGGUACAGACUGUCUGGUCGUAUAUCUAGGAGAAGCAGCAGGUCUUCCUACCUAGGAAACCACCCAACAGGACCUGAAAGACGUCUUCUGCUCGAGGUCCUACCAGGCUGGCCCUUUCGUUGCCCCUCGAAAACAGGGAGCCGACGUCACAAAACUUAACGACCUUCUUGACAUGAGUUUAGAGCGUAACUUCAACAGCAGAAGAGUGGGGUUGAAACAGAACCUUCGAAAGCAACAACAGAUCUGUCUCGCACGACACAAGGCUCGAAUCGCAGUUCUGCAAGGCUUGGGGUUCGAGCAGCUCCUCAACAUAGAGAAUGAAGCUGGCUACCAGACCGAAUCUGCAGCGCCAUUGGACUGCAUUUACGUAGAGAAUGCGCGUGAGUGAAGCACCAAGAUGACGCGAGCUCAUCACCCAACCCCAACCCCCAACACAACACGAUCCAGCAGCAAAAGCAGGCAUAUGGAAGAAGCAUGCAAGUGUGGUGAGCCAAGGAUGCAAUAGAUGCUCAAAACUGGAGUUUACGAGGGAGGCUGGAAAGCUCCAAAGCCCAACAAUGUAAUAUUACAGUCAACAUCUCUAGAACCUGAAACUUAAUAAGGUUCACGCGACUCAUAC